UACGGGGGGGGCAAGCGUUGUUCGGAAUUACUGGGCGUAAAGGGUUUGUAGGUGGCUUGUUAAGUCAGACGUGAAAUCCCUCAGCUUAACUGGGGAACUGCGUCUGAGACUGGUGAGCUUGAGUGCAGGAGAGGAACGCGGAAUUCCAGGUGUAGCGGUGAAAUGCGUAGAUAUCUGGAGGAACACCGGUGGCGAAGGCAGCCCCCUGGGCUAACACUGACGCUCAGGCACGAAAGCGUGGGGAGCAAACAGG
Molecule: ribosomal RNA, 253 nt
Filed under: uncultured bacterium
Lineage: Bacteria
Description: partial 16S ribosomal RNA
Rfam family: Bacterial small subunit ribosomal RNA
Source: RNAcentral